Molecule: long non-coding RNA, 205 nt
Filed under: Homo sapiens (human)
Lineage: Eukaryota; Metazoa; Chordata; Mammalia; Primates; Hominidae
Description: HSALNT0320308
Source: RNAcentral
UAAAUGAGAAUGAAGUUGGUUGCUCCCUUGAGUGUACCAGGCUGGAUGUACUGAGGCAGAGUUUGGAUCUCUGAAGUCUCCAUCUGGCUUUGUGGGUCUUUAGUGCUGGGAUUAUGCAGUGACACCCCAAAUAUACACAUGCUUCAUCGGAGGCAGAGUCACCUCUGCUGCAUGGCUUUAUUUUAAAGGUGAGAGACAUUGUGAC